GAAGAUCAAGAACAACCUACAAAACCCACAGCUUUGCCUUCAAAACCCAGUUCUUCCUCUUCCUCUCUGUUUUCUUCUCUACCCAAAUCCAAUUAAAAGGGUGACAUUUUGAGCUAUUUCCCUAUAAUGGAAUCGUGCAAGGCCCCCAAAUCCACCCCCUUUUGACUUAAAACAACAAAUCCACAAACCCUAACCAGUGAGAGAGGGAGCUAUUUCAAUGGCGAUACAGACCUCGAGCUCGAGCAAAAGACAUGCUUUAGGUGAAACGACUCAAAGCACUUCUUUGGGCAUUUGGGGACCUGUAAAGACAUGUAUUCAGAGCCAAGCUUAUCUUUGUGCAAUUCAGGUUAUGUUCUAUCUGAAGGCUUGAAAGAUUGAAUAGAAUAUGGGAAGCAAAAUUACAUGCAAUCCAAAUUUCCAUAGUCGUGGUAUGUUUGAGGGACGCAUACAAGAAGGUUUGUCUAGUGGUGGUAUGUCUUAAGUCUUGUAUAAUUGAAUUCAGUAUUUUUUGUAGGGUGAUAUAUACUUGCCUUGAUUCAUUGAUGGAUUAUGGAAGUUAGACAUGAUAGCAAAAUGGCCUACCAUUUAGUAGUUUUUUAUAAGGCCUAACAUUUAUGUCGAAAAUUUUCUAUGGUUCAUUGGAUGGAUUAUGGAAGUUAGACGUUAUAGCAAAAGGGUUUAUCAGUUUCCAUCUAAUGUUUUUGUUAAUUUAGUACAAGGGUGGUUGGAUGCACAUCUCAGAGGUAGCAAAUCCAGUUUUAGCUCUUACAUUAAUGGCAGCACUGCGAAUUUCCAAGAAGGAUUUAGCAUGUCAGUAGAUAAAAGGGAUUUUACCUUUACAAAGGAGCUGCAUGAGAAACUCGCACUAAAUUUCUUUCCCAUCCGAUCUUGUCUGCUGAACAGAUUGGGGAAUGUUUAUGUAUCCAAUUAAAUAAUUUGGACAAGAUUUUAAUGAUGUUUUCAUGUAAUGUGUGUGUAUGUAUGUUUUUAAGACAAAGGAAAUUUAAUACAUAUGCAGAUAAUUUAAUGCC
This is a long non-coding RNA of Prunus dulcis (almond), 1031 nucleotides long. RefSeq lists it as uncharacterized. The record is from RefSeq and is a predicted model, not a curated record. The transcript is spliced from 3 exons. NCBI's taxonomy places the organism in Eukaryota, Viridiplantae, Streptophyta, Magnoliopsida, Rosales, Rosaceae.